Molecule: ribosomal RNA, 462 nt
Filed under: uncultured bacterium
Lineage: Bacteria
Description: partial 16S ribosomal RNA
Rfam family: Bacterial small subunit ribosomal RNA
Source: RNAcentral
GACGAACGCUGGCGGCGUGCUUAACACAUGCAAGUCGAACGGAAAGGCCCUUCGGGGUACUCGAGUGGCGAACGGGUGAGUAACACGUGGGUGAUCUGCCCUGCACUUUGGGAUAAGCGUGGGAAACUGGGUCUAAUACCGAAUAUGAUCAUCGGCUUCAUGGUCGGUGGUGGAAAGCUUUUGCGGUGUGGGAUGGGCCCGCGGCUUAUCAGCUUGUUGGUGGGGUAAUGGCCUACCAAGGCGACGACGGGUAGCCGGCCUGAGAGGGUGACCGGCCACACUGGGACUGAGAUACGGCCCAGACGCGUACGUGAGGCAGCGGUGGGGAAUAUGGCACAAUGGGCGCAAGCCUGAGGCAGCGACGCCGCGUGAGGGAUGACGGCCUUCGGGUUGUAAACCUCUUUCAGCACAGACGAAGCGGAAGUGACGGUAUGUGCAGAAGAAGGACCGGCCAACUACGUG